RNAcentral lists this ribosomal RNA (559 nucleotides) under uncultured organism. RNAcentral's name for it is "bacterial SSU rRNA". It matches the Rfam family "Bacterial small subunit ribosomal RNA", at positions 102 to 680 of the family's 1533-position model. The record is from RNAcentral.
ACGGGUGAGUAACGCGUGAGAAUCUGCCUUGGGGUCGGGGACAACCACUGGAAACGGUGGCUAAUACCGGAUAAGCCUUUGGGUAAAAAAUUUAUUGCCCCAAGAGGAGCUCGCGUCUAGAUUAGCUAGUAGGUGAGGUAAAAGCUCACCAAGGCAGCGAUCAGUAGCUAGGUCUGAGAGGACGAUCAGCCACACUAGGGACUAGAGACACGGCCCAGACUCCUACGGGAGGCAGCAGUGGGGAAUAUUCCGCAAUGGGCGAAAGCCUGACGGAGCAAGACCGCGUAGAGGGAGGAAGGCUCUUGGGUUGUAAACCUCUAUAUCUCAGGGAAGAAGCUCUGACGGUACCUAGAGGAAUCAGCCUACGGCUAACUCCGUGCCAGCAGCCGCGGUAAUACGGAGGAGGCAAGCGUAUAUCCGGAAUUAUUGGGCGUAAAAGCGCCCGCAGGUAGCGAUUCAAAGUCUAGCUGUCAAAGCACGGGGCUUAAACCUCCGUUAAGGGACUGGAAACCUGAAUAGCUAGAGUGCCGUAGGGGUAGAGGGAAUUCCCGGUGUAGCG